UGCAAAGCACCUCUGGUCCCAGCAAGAUGU
Molecule: non-coding RNA, 30 nt
Filed under: Homo sapiens (human)
Lineage: Eukaryota; Metazoa; Chordata; Mammalia; Primates; Hominidae
Source: RNAcentral